This is a non-coding RNA of Coffea arabica (coffee), 2227 nucleotides long. NCBI's taxonomy places the organism in Eukaryota, Viridiplantae, Streptophyta, Magnoliopsida, Gentianales, Rubiaceae. The record is from RefSeq and is a predicted model, not a curated record.
CAAAACCCUACCUAUUCGGGGGCUUUUGCAGAAUCCUACGACACAUUAAAUGCAGAACUAGAAGCCCAGCCAAACAUUCGAUUCGGAUUCUGCUGCGGCUCGCAGAAUCUGCGGCCUGGAGCUUUGAUUUGCUCAUUCAGCAGCUCGCUCAUCAGUACCAACAUGUGCUCUACUUCUUCCCGCAAUAUUAAUUUCGCAGCUCAGCUGCAUCCUGUGUCUUAACCAAACAGAGCUCCGCUGCAACCCUUAAACCCCCAAUAUGCAGCGCCGGAUGGCAUAUAUAGCAGCGUACCGACGUUAAAGCUUUCCUGUUCCGGUACCAGGCCUAGCAAUCGGUUGAUAAUUCGUUGUUCUUCUGAGGUUUUAGUUGAACCCAUGAUUGGAAACGGAUUUGGGGAAGAUGUCUACUGCCGUGACCUGAAUCUUGAAGAUAGCCACCACUUAUAUCUGAUUGGCGUUGAGGGUUUAAGGGAAUCGAUAAUUCAAAAUGGCGUUGUGAGAGAUGGCUGCAACUGUUAUCGGGAUCGGUAUCUGCAAGAGCUGUUCGAGGCUUUAGAGGGUUUUGAAGAACGCAGAACUGGGAUUAGAGUUUCGGAAGAUCACUACAAAAGGUAUUGGGCUGGGAAGCCUAUUGAGAUGAUUUUGCGAGAUCAUCUGAAAGGCGCCUGUAUUACUGGAGUCCCGAGUGAUUUACUUCGGCCGUGGUGGGAUGUACAAAGAGCUGCUAAUGGUGGUUCAGAACUAAUAAAUGUGCGAUCCGUUUCCAAAACAUUUUAUUCUCGAAUUCUCCGCAAACAAUCUCCAACCCAGCACGUCCGAUUUGGGAUGGCUUCCAGUAGCCCGUUUCCUCCCGAACCAAUUAACAUUAAUAUUAUCUCACAAAGUAACAUUAUCUUCAAUGGUAGCCACUUGAGUCAGCACAUAGGCCCGGAGAUUCGGUCGAGACCCACAAUUGAAGCUGGAAGUGGCGGAGAUGGUGGCAAUGGCAACGGACGAUUGCCACCAUCUGGCGGUGCCCGUGGUGGAGGAGGAAAAGAUGAUGAUGAUGGGGACGUUUAUGAUGACCAGUUCUCACGGUUUAUGAAGGCUGCAGCUGAAAAGAUGAGGGUUGAAGCCAAUGCUAAUGCUGAAGCCGCCAAGGCUGAAGCUGCCGCCAAGUCCAUGGGGACCCUGGUAAUUAAUGGGUUGAUGUCCAGAUUUGGAUUGUUGGUGGCGUCCUGCUGGAUCCUUGGGAAUCCUAUUCUUGCUGAUCCAUCUCUUCUGUUUAAAGUUGGUAUUGCAACACAGGUAGUCACUGGUUCUUGUUUUUCAACAUUUGCAGAACUGAAGAAGAAGGGGAUGGAGUUUUGGUCCAGAUUGUUUGCUGCAGACAUUCUGUUUGGGAUUACAGUUGACAUUGCUUUGGUGGUGUGCUGGCAACUUAUGCUCGUAUGGGCUGAUGCCAUCUGCUUCUGGUGGUUUUUUUGGGCACAUGCAACGUGCCUAUUCUUCCCUACGAGCAGUAUUUUUGAAGGUGGAAGUCCAGGAUUCAACAUUUCUUUGCAGCAACAGGGUCUCACCUACUUUUAUGAGGGUAUCUGUUUGGCACAGCUGGACUUGGUUGUGGGCUUAUUUAUCAUGCCAUAGUUAAUUUAAUCAGGACUGGAACCGGAAUGCCAAGAAGUCAGAAGAGGAAAAUCUGGUUUCCUCUAUAGUGAAAAAUGUUACUCUCUGGGGUGUUUUCCUUCCGCUUUCAUCAGAUACGCGUCAUCAGAUUGUUAAAGGAUUGGAAAAACAGAUUAAAGCAUCAUCUGUUGCAAAGCAGGUCCUAUUUACUGCUCUGGCUUUUGCAGUAGGCAUACGAUUCGCCAACAGUGUAUUUGGCGGGCUGCUGUUUGCUAACUGGGCAAAAUGGAGUGGGAUCAUGAAGAGCGAAUCUUGAUUCUCGACUCGUCCCUUGGAGUUUUUGCAUCUUCUUACACGCACUCUCUCUCUCUCCUUUUUCUUUUCUGUUAUUAUGUUCUGCUGUUGUUGUAACAUCUUGUACUAGUAGAAUUUGUGCAAUUGCCAAUCUACAUCAUGUUGUGCUGUUGUUGUAACAUCUUGGUUUCAAAGUAGGACUUAAUGACAUAAACGCGAGAACAUUUGGAUUCAAUAAUGUAGAUUUGCGUUGGCAGAGAUGUAUGAAACCUCGCUGGUGGCUGAAUGAGUUUUAGAAUGGUAGGACUGAAUGAGUUUUUUUGUGCUU